RNAcentral lists this ribosomal RNA (478 nucleotides) under uncultured bacterium. RNAcentral describes it as "partial 16S ribosomal RNA". It matches the Rfam family "Bacterial small subunit ribosomal RNA", at positions 28 to 523 of the family's 1533-position model. The record is from RNAcentral.
GACGAACGCUGGCGGCGUGCUUAACACAUGCAAGUCGAACGGUAAGGCCCUUCGGGGUACACGAGUGGCGAACGGGUGAGUAACACGUGGGUGAUGUGCCCUGCACUUCGGGAUAAGCCUGGGAAACUGGGUCUAAUACCGGAUAGGACCAUUGCCUGCAUGGGUGGUGGGGGAAAGCGUGUGCGGUGUGGGAUGGGGCCGCGGCCUAUCAGCUUGUUGGUGGGGUGAUGGCCUACCAAGGCGACGACGGGUAGCCGGCCUGAGAGGGUGACCGGCCACACUGGGACUGAGAUACGGCCCAGACUCCUACGGGAGGCAGCAGUGGGGAAUAUUGCACAAUGGGCGCAAGCCUGAUGCAGCGACGCCGCGUGAGGGAUGACGGCCUUCGGGUUGUAAACCUCUUUCAGCAUCGACGAAGCGCAAGUGACGGUAGGUGCAGAAGAAGGACCGGCCAACUACGUGCCAGCCGCCGCAGUAA